RNAcentral lists this ribosomal RNA (466 nucleotides) under Vreelandella stevensii. Its description in RNAcentral is "partial 16S ribosomal RNA". It matches the Rfam family "Bacterial small subunit ribosomal RNA", at positions 338 to 795 of the family's 1533-position model. Lineage: Bacteria; Pseudomonadati; Pseudomonadota; Gammaproteobacteria; Oceanospirillales; Halomonadaceae. The record is from RNAcentral.
CCUACGGGUGGCUGCAGUGGGGAAUAUUGGACAAUGGGGGGAACCCUGAUCCAGCCAUGCCGCGUGUGUGAAGAAGGCCCUCGGGUUGUAAAGCACUUUCAGUGAGGAAGAACGCCUGGUGGUUAAUACCCAUCAGGAAAGACAUCACUCACAGAAGAAGCACCGGCUAACUCCGUGCCAGCAGCCGCGGUAAUACGGAGGGUGCGAGCGUUAAUCGGAAUUACUGGGCGUAAAGCGCGCGUAGGUGGCUUGAUAAGCCGGUUGUGAAAGCCCCGGGCUCAACCUGGGAACGGCAUCCGGAACUGUCAAGCUAGAGUGCAGGAGAGGAAGGUAGAAUUCCCGGUGUAGCGGUGAAAUGCGUAGAGAUCGGGAGGAAUACCAGUGGCGAAGGCGGCCUUCUGGACUGACACUGACACUGAGGUGCGAAAGCGUGGGUAGCAAACAGGAUUAGAUACCCCUGGUAGUC